CUUCGGGUAUUGAGGAUGGCGGACGGGUGAGUAACGCGUAAGGAACUUGCCUCUUGGUCUGGGACAACUGUUGGAAACGACAGCUAAUACCGGAUAUUAUGAGAUUCUCGCAUGGGAAACUUAUGAAAGCUAUAUGCGCCAAGAGAGAGCCUUGCGUUCCAUUAGCUAGUUGGUGGGGUAACGGCCCACCAAGGCGACGAUGGAUAGCCGGCCUGAGAGGGUGAACGGCCACAAGGGGACUGAGACACGGCCCUUACUCCUACGGGAGGCAGCAGUGGGGAAUAUUGGACAAUGGGCCACAAGCCUGAUCCAGCAAUUCUGUGUGCACGAUGAAGGUCUUCGGAUUGUAAAGUGCUUUCAGUUGGGAAGAAGAAAGUGACGGUACCAACAGAAGAAGCGACGGCUAAAUACGUGCCAGCAGCCGCGGUAAUACGUAUGUCGCAAGCGUUAUCCGGAUUUAUUGGGCGUAAAGCGCGUCUAGGCGGAAAAAUAAGUCUGAUGUUAAAAUGCGGGGCUCAACUCCGUAUUGCGUUGGAAACUGUUUUUCUAGAGUACUGGAGAGGUGGGCGGAACUACAAGUGUAGAGGUGAAAUUCGUAGAUAUUUGUAGGAAUGCCGAUGGAGAAGUCAGCUCACUGGACAGAUACUGACGCUAAAGCGCGAAAGCGUGGGGAGCAAACAGGAUUAGAUACCCUGGUAGUCCACGCCGUAAACGAUGAUCACU
RNAcentral lists this ribosomal RNA (723 nucleotides) under uncultured bacterium. RNAcentral's name for it is "bacterial SSU rRNA". It matches the Rfam family "Bacterial small subunit ribosomal RNA", at positions 78 to 817 of the family's 1533-position model. The record is from RNAcentral.